CAUCCAAUGGCUCUCAUCACCCAUUAACCUUGGCCAACAUGACAGCUGUUGGAGAUGCACAGAGCCAACUUCAAGGCCUGGGCAGAGGUGCUGCUGGCUCCCUGUGUCUUCAUGCUGCAAAACUUCUCUGUGCACCUUCACUUGCUCUGCUGCCUUGGCAGGGCUGGAAAAACACUCAUUUGAUGGCAGCAAGAAUAAGAGGAGCUGUGGCAAGGGUUUGGACCCAGAAUAUCCAUUACUGCACCUGCCAUUCUGAUGUUCCUCAGCUGGAAGCAGAAGGAUGCUCCACUGAUGGGGUGAGUCCAGAAAAGGGUUGUCAGUGGCAGCUUGACCUUUUUGGUCCCUGUGGUGCCUUGGGAGGGCCAGGGCAGCUGCAUCCUUUCACUGCCUGACUUAGGGACAUAGGAGCAUCUCUUGUGCCCAAAAAGGAAGAACUCCACAUGGUGCAGAUGGCAUUUCAUACAGAUUUGGUUGGGUGUUAUCUGCUGUGAACAUAAAUACCAGCUCAGUAGUUUCACUCUUAUAAAUGAUAAGCUGAAACCUCUUUUGGUUGUUUCUCAGUCAAAUGCCAGUAAUAAAAUGAAAAAUCACCAUCAACCCCCACCCCCUUUAUUUGCAUAGUUUUGAUGCUGUCAAAAAAACAGACAACACUCAUGUAGCAUAAGGAGAAUUUUUAAAUAGAAGCAUUACAUUUUAAAACCCUAAUAAAGAUAAAAGCAAAAUAAAGAGCAAAAUUUGAAUUUAGAGAAUGGGAGAAGAAAGAUUAGUCUGUGCUGAUGAAGUAAUGAAGGUAGUGUCUGGUAACAAUUUUUAAUAGCACAUUAAUGCUGAAUUACUUUGGAAUUUCUUCAGGAGUCGAGAUGACAUCCACAUAAACACCAAAUGAAUUCCAAAUGAUUGGUAUUAUCAUAAAGAGCACUAAAUGAAUUAAUAAUGACGGAACACUUAAACUAAAACGUUAUCUUCUCUAAUCUGUUGUCUCUUUUAUGCACUGCUCAAUUCAUUUUUAGCCAACUAUGACCCUUUCUUUCGUUUGUCUUUUAAUUUAAGAUAUAUAUAUAUUUAUUUUUGCACAAAUGUUCUGCUCCUGUACUGCAUGAAGCAGGACGUGGACUAGUCCAUCUUCAUAACAGUUUUGUGUUGGCAUCACAAAAUGUAAGAGAUAGAUGGGAAGACAUCUGGACGUGAGACAUAUCGCUGGGAAAAUGACUAUGACUAAUAAGAACCAUAAUAAUAACAAUUCUGCCUUGAUGGUCCCACAUGUGCAGAGACCUCAGGGCACCCUUAACAGCACUUAAUAGACUAAAUGGCUCACUUUA
Pezoporus flaviventris is the source of this 1319-nucleotide long non-coding RNA. RefSeq lists it as uncharacterized. Lineage: Eukaryota; Metazoa; Chordata; Aves; Psittaciformes; Psittacidae. The record is from RefSeq and is a predicted model, not a curated record. The transcript is spliced from 2 exons.